Molecule: ribosomal RNA, 465 nt
Filed under: uncultured bacterium
Lineage: Bacteria
Description: partial 16S ribosomal RNA
Rfam family: Bacterial small subunit ribosomal RNA
Source: RNAcentral
GACGAACGCUGGCGGCGUGCUUAACACAUGCAAGUCGAACGGAAAGGCCCUGCUUGCAGGGUACUCGAGUGGCGAACGGGUGAGUAACACGUGGGUGAUCUGCCCUGCACUUCGGGAUAAGCCUGGGAAACUGGGUCUAAUACCGGAUAGGAGCCAUUUUUAGUGUGAUGGUUGGAAAGUUUUUUCGGUGUAGGAUGAGCUCGCGGCCUAUCAGCUUGUUGGUGGGGUAAUGGCCUACCAAGGCGGCGACGGGUAGCCGGCCUGGGAGGGUGGACGGCCACAUUGGGACUGAGAUACGGCCCAGACCCCUACGGGGGGCAGCAGGGGGGAAUAUUGCACAAUGGGCGCAAGCCUGAUGCAGCGACGCCGCGUGGGGGAUGACGGCCUUCGGGUUGUAAACUCCUUUCGCUAGGGACGAAGCUUUUUGUGACGGUACCUAGAUAAGAAGCACCGGCUAACUACGUG